GGAUAAGACAGGGAUGUGAUUGUACAUUGAGUCUCCAGGUCACUGGUUCUGGUUUUAUUGUUCUGUGUUUUUAUUUCACAGUAAAACCAUUAAAGGAUGAAGAAUUCAAUGUCCAGUACAGACCAGGCAGACAUGUAUCCAUCAUUCCUUCUCCUGCAGGUCAGUUCUGGGUUCUGACAUUGUAUGUGGGAAAUAAAGAGAUUCUAUUCAAGGGUUAUUUACCAUUAAAUUGUAUCAGAGGCAGGUGUAAGUCUCCUGGCGUGGCCUACCUUCUGCAGCUUGCUUGAACUUUAUUGGAAUAUUAUAUGAGAAGGACUAGGAAGUGAUUGAAACCACUCAGCCAAUCCUAGCCCACCCUGUGUUUUCCAAUCCAGCAAGGCUAUCUGGGAUAUGUAGUUUAGUGGUGGAGGUGGAGAGGAUUACAUGUGUGGCGAAACCAACCUCGCCACUGUGAACUGGAGAAGCCUGGUUGCUCGCCUGCUCCCUUUGGACUAUGGCCCUGCAGGUUAAACCAUUUAUUUUCCCUGCAGAAAGGCUUAUUCAUGUGAUCUGAGUGCCAUUCAUCUAAUAAUGUGUGCUCAGCUCAAAGCUAUCUGGGCAUGUGUAGAAAUGUGUGUUUUAUGUACUAAAUGUAUCAGUAUGUAAUUUUAUGUCUUUUACUGUCUUUUUGUCUGCCAUGUGGGUAAUGGAGUUUUGCCUCUGUCCUGGGAGAUAAUUAGAUUCCUUCCCCAAUUAUCUCCAGGCCAGGGAGGAGGGAUUGUGAUGCAUUGUGGGCUGUAACUGUUACUUGAUUGGUUAUUUUAUACCUCCCUGUGGGCGGUCCUGUAUGUGCAAGACUGUAAUAAAAACCAGGCUGGGUGUGCCAGCAGUGUUGUUCCUGUUUAACCCUCCAAGUGAAGUGUCGUCUCAUUCUUGGGGGGGAAUUUGACUGUAUGCCGAUUGCCAGGAGUGUAAGCUGUUCUUAGGGCUUUUCCUGUUCGGCUGCUUCCAGGGUUCGUGUGUUUCCUGUUAGGGAGUUGGGGAUUCGUACAGUUUGGAGUUUGGGAGAUUGGUGAUUGCAGUAGCUGCUGGUCUAUGGGAAAGGGGAUUAUCGCCUAAACGGUUUUUAUCCUCUUGUGAGAGAAACGGUCCGUUACAACAUGUACAUAAUCUGCUUCCUGAACACCCUGUGCAAGCUUUCCAGCGUGGCCUGGCUCGUGGUAGCCUCGAUCAUUCCUGUACAGCUUGCUAGAUCAUGCUUGGGAUAGUUUGAGGCAUCUCCCUGCUGCUCCGGGGGGAAGUUAUAAAAAUCUCAGACAUUAUUAGAUGGUUAUCAUCGGGUGGGUAGGUGGGUGUUGUGUUUUUUUUUUUUUUAAUAAUUAAAAGUAUAUUAUGUAAUAUGUUAAAAUAUUUAGGUUUUUAAAUUUUAAUUAAUGCUUAUUCAAUAUGCCAUGUUCAGUCCUCGGGUGUGGAAAGGAUUAGUGACGUUUAUUUUCUUUUUAGGUGAGUCUAACAUUUAUUUAUUUUGCAGGAAGAAGAUGGGGGAGAGAAAAACCGCUAGUGGUCGCAUUGUUGCAUAAUUGAAGAGAUUUGUGACCUAAGGUUCGUAUAGUGAUAUGGACAUUUUAGUGGCCUGAACCCCCUGUGCAAGCUUUCCAGCGUGGCCUGGCUCGUGGUAGCCUCGAUCAUUCCUGUACAGCUUGCUAGAUCAUGCUUGGGAUAGUUUGAGGCGUCUCCCUGCCGCUCCGGGGGGAAGUUAUGAAAAUCUCAGACAUUAUUAGAUGGUUAUCGUCGGGUGGGUAGGUGGUUGUUGUGUUUUUUUUUUUGUUUGUUUUUUUUUUAUAAUUAAAAGUAUAUUAUGUAAUAUGUUAAAAUAUUUAGGUUUUUAAAUUUUAAUUAAUGCUUAUUCAAUAUGCCAUGUUCAGUCCUCGGGUGUGGAAAGGAUUAGUGACGUUUAUUUUCUUUUUAGGUGAGUCUAACAUUUAUUUAUUUUGCAGGAAGAAGAUGGGGGAGAGAAAAACAGCUAGUGGUCGCAUUGUUGCAUAAUUGAAGAGAUUUGUGACCUAAGGUUCGUAUAGUGAUAUGGACAUUUUAGUGGCCUGAACCCCCUGUGCAAGCUUUCCAGCGUGGCCUGGCUCGUGGUAGCCUCGAUCAUUCCUGUACAGCUUGCUAGAUCAUGCUUGGGAUAGUUUGAGGCGUCUCCCUGCCGCUCCGGGGGGAAGUUAUGAAAAUCUCAGACAUUAUUAGAUGGUUAUCGUCGGGUGGGUAGGUGGUUGUUGUGUUUUUUUUUUUGUUUGUUUUUUUUUAUAAUUAAAAGUAUAUUAUGUAAUAUGUUAAAAUAUUUAGGUUUUUAAAUUUUAAUUAAUGCUUAUUCAAUAUGCCAUGUUCAGUCCUCGGGUGUGGAAAGGAUUAGUGACGUUUAUUUUCUUUUAGGUGAGUCUAACAUUUAUUUAUUUUGCAGGAAGAAGAUGGGGAGAGAAAAACAGCUAGUGGUCGCAUUGUUGCAUAAUUGAAGAGAUUUGUGACCUAAGGUUCGUAUAGUGAUAUGGACAUUUUAGUGGCCUGAACCCCCUGUGCAAGCUUUCCAGCGUGGCCUGGCUCGUGGUAGCCUCGAUCAUUCCUGUACAGCUUGCUAGAUCAUGCUUGGGAUAGUUUGAGGCGUCUCCCUGCCGCUCCGGGGGGAAGUUAUGAAAAUCUCAGACAUUAUUAGAUGGUUAUCGUCGGGUGGGUAGGUGGUUGUUGUGUUUUUUUUUGUUUUUUGUUUUUUAUAAUUAAAAGUAUAUUAUGUAAUAUGUUAAAAUAUUUAGGUUUUUAAAUUUUAAUUAAUGCUUCUUCAAUAUGCCAUGUUCAGUCCUCGGGUGUGGAAAGGAUUAGUGACGUUUAUUUUCUUUUAGGUGAGUCUAACAUUUAUUUAUUUUGCAGGAAGAAGAUGGGGGAGAGAAAAACAGCUAGUGGUCGCAUUGUUGCAUAAUUGAAGAGAUUUGUGACCUAAGGUUCGUAUAGUGAUAUGGACAUUUUAGUGGCCUGAACCCCCUGUGCAAGCUUUCCAGCGUGGCCUGGCUCGUGGUAGCCUCGAUCAUUCCUGUACAGCUUGCUAGAUCAUGCUUGGGAUAGUUUGAGGCGUCUCCCUGCCGCUCCGGGGGGAAGUCAUAAAAAUCUCAGACAUUAUUAGAUGGUUAUCGCACAGCAGCCUAUUGUGUGUAGGAAAUGUGAAUUAAAGGGUUACAUCACCAAAAAAAGUUUUUUAAUAUAGCCCGAGUGCCAGCCUGCUCACUGUAGGGGAGGGGGGGUGCCAGGCUCGUGGUAGCCUCGAUUAUUCCUGUACAGCUUGCUAGAUCAUGCUUGGGAUAGUUUGAGGUGUCUCCCUGCCGCUAAUAAAAUACUAAAUCAUUUUAAAAGAUUAUCCAAAAAGUUUAGAUCUCAGACAUCACCAGAGUGUUUUGUAUUAGUUAAAUCUAUGCUGUAGAGAUGUAGGUGCUUUAUUUAAUUAUUUGUAUUGUACAAAAUGCUUUCCAUUUUUGGGAUGGUUUUUCCCCUAUUGAAUUACCUUAGAAAAUCGCUGCUAUAAGAAAGGCCGUGUUGGUGUGAUUAACUGUGCUUUUUGCUGAUGUAACCAUAACAACUUUCAGUAGCUGGCCCCGAGUGAGCAUGCGCAGGCACGCAUCCAUUGGCAGACAGUGAAUGAAUGGCAAUACCGACAUCUGCGGAAUCUGGAUGUAGCUCGGCUACCAUUCUUGGUGUCUGCGCACCCACUGGAAAGCAGUUUCGUGGCAGUCUGUGCAGAAUAGUUUACCCCCAAGUAAUGGUUCAGUACUACAAGAACCUGUUGUGAUUUUGAUGCUUGUCGUAACCCUUUAAGAAUAAAAAGGUUACAAUCUUUGUGAGUUCAUUAGAUUUGCUCAGUAGUCCUUGGUUAAAACAGACUUAGUAUUAUUUAUCCUUUGUAUGUCCAGGUUUAUUUUAUUUAUUUUCUUUUUUCUGCUCAGUAACUGAUGUCUGUCUUCUCCUCCGUGGCAGUGAUGGGAGUGUGUCCAAAGAUCGUAGCCCUAAAAGUAACCUGAAGAAUAUCUACCUGUGGUGGAUCUAAUCACAGAACCUGCCUAGCGCCAUGGAACUGCCAUGGAGACUUCAUUAUAGAGUCCGCUGUAUGAAAUCAUGAUUCAUCAAUAAAAACAUAUUAAUACA
RNAcentral lists this long non-coding RNA (4164 nucleotides) under Pelobates cultripes (western spadefoot toad). The stretch from base 1169 to 1301 matches the Rfam family "Small nucleolar RNA SNORA9". Lineage: Eukaryota; Metazoa; Chordata; Amphibia; Anura; Pelobatidae. The record is from RNAcentral.